CAGGAAAAGCCUCUAAGCAUCAGGUAACAUCAAAUCGUACCCCAAACCGACACAGGUGGUCAGGUAGAGAAUACCAAGGCGCUUGAGAGAACUCGGGUGAAGGAACUAGGCAAAAUGGUGCCGUAACUUCGGGAGAAGGCACGCUGAUAUGUAGGUGAAGCGACUUGCUCGUGGAGCUGAAAUCAGUCGAAGAUACCAGCUGGCUGCAACUGUUUAUUAAAAACACAGCACUGUGCAAACACGAAAGUGGACGUAUACGGUGUGACGCCUGCCCGGUGCCGGAAGGUUAAUUGAUGGGGUCAGCGCAAGCGAAGCUCUUGAUCGAAGCCCCGGUAAACGGCGGCCGUAACUAUAACGGUCCUAAGGUAGCGAAAUUCCUUGUCGGGUAAGUUCCGACCUGCACGAAUGGCGUAAUGAUGGCCAGGCUGUCUCCACCCGAGACUCAGUGAAAUUGAACUCGCUGUGAAGAUGCAGUGUACCCGCGGCAAGACGGAAAGACCCCGUGAACCUUUACUAUAGCUUGACACUGAACAUUGAGCCUUGAUGUGUAGGAUAGGUGGGAGGCUUUGAAGUGUGGACGCCAGUCUGCAUGGAGCCGACCUUGAAAUACCACCCUUUAAUGUUUGAUGUUCUAACGUUGACCCGUGAUCCGGGUUGCGGACAGUGUCUGGUGGGUAGUUUGACUGGGGCGGUCUCCUCCUAAAGAGUAACGGAGGAGCACGAAGGUUGGCUAAUCCUGGUCGGACAUCAGGAGGUUAGUGCAAUGGCAUAAGCCAGCUUGACUGCGAGCGUGACGGCGCGAGCAGGUGCGAAAGCAGGUCAUAGUGAUCCGGUGGUUCUGAAUGGAAGGGCCAUCGCUCAACGGAUAAAAGGUACUCCGGGGAUAACAGGCUGAUACCGCCCAAGAGUUCAUAUCGACGGCGGUGUUUGGCACCUCGAUGUCGGCUCAUCACAUCCUGGGGCUGAAGUAGGUCCCAAGGGUAUGGCUGUUCGCCAUUUAAAGUGGUACGCGAGCUGGGUUUAGAACGUCGUGAGACAGUUCGGUCCCUAUCUGCCGUGGGCGCUGGAGAACUGAGGGGGGCUGCUCCUAGUACGAGAGGACCGGAGUGGACGCAUCACUGGUGUUCGGGUUGUCAUGCCAAUGGCACUGCCCGGUAGCUAAAUGCGGAAGAGAUAAGUGCUGAAAGCAUCUAAGCACGAAACUUGCCCCGAGAUGAGUUCUCCCUGACUCCUUGAGAGUCCUGAAGGAACGUUGAAGACGACGACGUUGAUAGGCCGGGUGUGUAAGCGCAGCGAUGCGUUGAGCUAACCGGUACUAAUGAACCGUGAGGCUUAACCUUACAACGCCGAAG
Molecule: ribosomal RNA, 1352 nt
Filed under: Escherichia coli
Lineage: Bacteria; Pseudomonadati; Pseudomonadota; Gammaproteobacteria; Enterobacterales; Enterobacteriaceae
Description: partial 23S ribosomal RNA
Rfam family: Bacterial large subunit ribosomal RNA
Source: RNAcentral